GCCCGGUUAGCUCAGUCGGUAGAGCAUCAGACUUUUAAGAGCUGAAAAAUCCUUUAGUCAUCUGAGGGUCGUGGGUUCAAGUCCCACAUCGGGCG
RNAcentral lists this transfer RNA (95 nucleotides) under Helobdella robusta. RNAcentral's name for it is "tRNA-Lys for anticodon UUU". It matches the Rfam family "tRNA". From Rfam's summary of the family: Transfer RNA (tRNA) molecules are approximately 80 nucleotides in length. Their secondary structure includes four short double-helical elements and three loops (D, anti-codon, and T loops). Further hydrogen bonds mediate the characteristic L-shaped molecular structure. tRNAs have two regions of fundamental functional importance: the anti-codon, which is responsible for specific mRNA codon recognition, and the 3' end, to which the tRNAs corresponding amino acid is attached (by aminoacyl-tRNA synthetases). tRNAs cope with the degeneracy of the genetic code in two manners: having more than one tRNA (with a specific anti-codon) for a particular amino acid; and 'wobble' base-pairing, i.e. permitting non-standard base-pairing at the 3rd anti-codon position. Lineage: Eukaryota; Metazoa; Annelida; Clitellata; Rhynchobdellida; Glossiphoniidae. The record is from Rfam by way of RNAcentral.